ACACUCCUACGGGAGGCAGCAGUGGGGAAUUUUGGACAAUGGGCGAAAGCCUGAUCCAGCAAUGCCGCGUGAGUGAAGAAGGCCUUCGGGUUGUAAAGCUCUUUUGUCAGGGAAGAAACGGUGAAAGCUAAUAUCUUUUGCUAAUGACGGUACCUGAAGAAUAAGCACCGGCUAACUACGUGCCAGCAGCCGCGGUAAUACGUAGGGUGCAAGCGUUAAUCGGAAUUACUGGGCGUAAAGCGUGCGCAGGCGGUUUUGUAAGUCUGAUGUGAAAUCCCCGGGCUCAACCUGGGAAUUGCAUUGGAGACUGCAAGGCUAGAAUCUGGCAGAGGGGGGUAGAAUUCCACGUGUAGCAGUGAAAUGCGUAGAUAUGUGGAGGAACACCGAUGGCGAAGGCAGCCCCCUGGGUCAAGAUUGACGCUCAUGCACGAAAGCGUGGGGAGCAAACAGGAUUAGAAACCCGAGUAGUCC
RNAcentral lists this ribosomal RNA (471 nucleotides) under uncultured organism. RNAcentral describes it as "partial 16S ribosomal RNA". It matches the Rfam family "Bacterial small subunit ribosomal RNA", at positions 333 to 796 of the family's 1533-position model. The record is from RNAcentral.